RNAcentral lists this non-coding RNA (25 nucleotides) under Mus musculus (house mouse). Lineage: Eukaryota; Metazoa; Chordata; Mammalia; Rodentia; Muridae. The record is from RNAcentral.
UGUCUAGGAACUACAGCAAAUGGGA